AUGGAGACGACGAGGGGGUUCUUGGGGUUGCCGUCGUGGUGUAUCGUCCUCUUGUGCCUGGCCGCCGGUUGGAUGGUGGCGGCGGAGGCGGCUGCGUUGCCGCAGUACUACAACGCCAUAUUCAGCUUCGGCGACUCCUUCUCCGACACGGGCAACUUCGUCAUCAUCAACUCCGGCAAGCUGCCCAACAUGCCCAAGUUCCCGCCGCCCUACGCCCGCUGCUCCAACGGCCGUCUCGUCAUUGACUUCCUGGCCGAGAGGUUGGGAGUGCCGCUGCUGCCGCCGUCGGCGAACAAGGGCACCAACUUCAGCCAGGGCGCCAACUUCGCUGUCAUGGGCGCCACCGCGCUGGACCUCAAGUACUUCAGGGACAACAACGUGUGGAGCAUCCCGCCCUUCAACACUUCCAUGAACUGCCAGCUCGAGUGGUUCCAGGAGGUUAAGGAGACCAUCUGCUCCUCCCCACAAGAGUGCAAGGAAUUUUUCGGGAAGGCGCUUUUCGUGUUCGGCGAGUUGGGCGGCAACGACUACAGCUUCGCGUGGAAGGCGGAGUGGAGCUUGGAAAAGGUGAAGACCCAGAUGGUGCCCAAGGUGGUGGAGUCCAUCAUCGGCGGCAUCGAGGCUCUGCUCGACGAGGGCGCGCGGCACGUGCUUGUGCCGGGCAACCUCCCCGCUGGGUGCAUCCCCAUCACGCUCACCAUGUACCCGUCCGAGGACCGUAGCGACUACGACCCCCGCACCGGCUGCCUCAAGAAGUUCAACGGCGUCGCCCUCUACCACAACGCCGUGCUCCGCGUCGCCCUCAACCAGCUCCAGCGCCGCCGCCCGGAUUCCCGCAUCAUCUACGCCGACUACUACACCCCCUACAUCCAGUUCGCACGCACACCUCACCUCUACGGGUACAAGAGGGGAGCCCUGAGGGCGUGCUGCGGCGGCGGGGGCCCGUACAACUACAACAUGAGCUCGUCGUGCGGGCUGCCCGGUGCCACGGUGUGCGACGACCCAGACGCGCAUGUCAGCUGGGACGGCAUCCACCUCACCGAGGCGCCCUACCGCUUCAUCGCCAACACCUGGCUCAAGGGCCCCUAUGCGCACCCGCCCCUCGCCAGUGUCGUCCGCGACGAUAUGGUCUAUUAA
RNAcentral lists this ribosomal RNA (1137 nucleotides) under Triticum aestivum (bread wheat). RNAcentral describes it as "partial small subunit ribosomal RNA". The record is from RNAcentral. Lineage: Eukaryota; Viridiplantae; Streptophyta; Magnoliopsida; Poales; Poaceae.